Molecule: ribosomal RNA, 492 nt
Filed under: uncultured bacterium
Lineage: Bacteria
Description: partial 16S ribosomal RNA
Rfam family: Bacterial small subunit ribosomal RNA
Source: RNAcentral
AGUGAACGCUGGCGGUAGGCCUAACACAUGCAAGUCGAACGGCAGCACAGUAAGAGCUUGCUCUUACGGGUGGCGAGUGGCGGACGGGUGAGGAAUACAUCGGAAUCUACUUUUUCGUGGGGGUUAACGUAGGGAAACUUACGCUAAUACCGCAUACGACCUACGGGUGAAAGCAGGGGAUCUUCGGACCUUGCGCGAUUGAAUGAGCCGAUGUCGGAUUAGCUAGUUGGCGGGGUAAAGGCCCACUAAGGCGACGAUCCGUAGCUGGUCUGAGAGGAUGAUCAGCCACACUGGAACUGAGACACGGUCCAGACUCCUACGGGAGGCAGCAGUGGGGAAUAUUGGACAAUGGGCGCAAGCCUGAUCCAGCCAUACCGCGUGGGUGAAGAAGGCCUUCGGGUUGUAAAGCCCUUUUGUUGGGAAAGAAAAGCAGCAGGUUAAUACCCCGCUGUUCUGACGGUACCCAAAGAAUAAGCACCGGCUAACUUCGUG